This 180-nucleotide ribosomal RNA is filed under the name uncultured Glomeromycotina. RNAcentral's name for it is "partial small subunit ribosomal RNA". Lineage: Eukaryota; Fungi; Glomeromycota. The record is from RNAcentral.
GGCCUGGCUGGGCGGUCUUGCCGCAAGGUAAGCACUGCUCCGGUCGGGUCUUUCCUUCUGGGGAGCCAGCGUGCUCUUAACUGAGUGCGUUGGGGAUCCAGGACUUUUACUUUGAAAAAAUUAGAGUGUUUAAAACAGGCGUUUGCUUGAAUACAUUAGCAUGGAAUAACGGAAUAGGAC